CCCCUCAAAACCCUAACACCUCUCAAAUCAUCAAAUUAAGAAGAAAAUUGAAGGUCAAUCGAAUGCAUGUGAUCAAUUCCUUAGUCAUCUAAGGGUUUCCCAUCAUGGGUAUAGGAAUCAUGUCAAGACGGACUCAAGCAUAAAAGGAUAACGGGUCAAGAAAAGGGCGAGGAAUCGGAUACGAGCACGGACGCAUAAGGUUGUACGAAUCACGGAUUAACCUCACAAGGAGUAGCGAUCGAAGACCGAGUCACAAGAUAGAUUGUACGGGAAUGUUUACAUAUGUAAUUUAGUAAUGAUAAGUUAU
RNAcentral lists this long non-coding RNA (307 nucleotides) under Helianthus annuus (common sunflower). RNAcentral describes it as "sRNA HanXRQr2_Chr15g0701181". Lineage: Eukaryota; Viridiplantae; Streptophyta; Magnoliopsida; Asterales; Asteraceae. The record is from RNAcentral.